RNAcentral lists this ribosomal RNA (1431 nucleotides) under Citrobacter sp. TUST-S4. RNAcentral's name for it is "bacterial SSU rRNA". It matches the Rfam family "Bacterial small subunit ribosomal RNA". The record is from RNAcentral. Lineage: Bacteria; Pseudomonadati; Pseudomonadota; Gammaproteobacteria; Enterobacterales; Enterobacteriaceae.
GCAGCUUGCUGCUUUGCUGACGAGUGGCGGACGGGUGAGUAAUGUCUGGGAAACUGCCCGAUGGAGGGGGAUAACUACUGGAAACGGUAGCUAAUACCGCAUAACGUCGCAAGACCAAAGAGGGGGACCUUCGGGCCUCUUGCCAUCGGAUGUGCCCAGAUGGGAUUAGCUUGUUGGUGAGGUAACGGCUCACCAAGGCGACGAUCCCUAGCUGGUCUGAGAGGAUGACCAGCCACACUGGAACUGAGACACGGUCCAGACUCCUACGGGAGGCAGCAGUGGGGAAUAUUGCACAAUGGGCGCAAGCCUGAUGCAGCCAUGCCGCGUGUAUGAAGAAGGCCUUCGGGUUGUAAAGUACUUUCAGCGGGGAGGAAGGUGUUGUGGUUAAUAACCGCAGCAAUUGACGUUACCCGCAGAAGAAGCACCGGCUAACUCCGUGCCAGCAGCCGCGGUAAUACGGAGGGUGCAAGCGUUAAUCGGAAUUACUGGGCGUAAAGCGCACGCAGGCGGUCUGUCAAGUCGGAUGUGAAAUCCCCGGGCUCAACCUGGGAACUGCAUUCGAAACUGGCAGGCUUGAGUCUCGUAGAGGGGGGUAGAAUUCCAGGUGUAGCGGUGAAAUGCGUAGAGAUCUGGAGGAAUACCGGUGGCGAAGGCGGCCCCCUGGACGAAGACUGACGCUCAGGUGCGAAAGCGUGGGGAGCAAACAGGAUUAGAUACCCUGGUAGUCCACGCCGUAAACGAUGUCUAUUUGGAGGUUGUUCCCUUGAGGAGUGGCUUCCGGAGCUAACGCGUUAAAUAGACCGCCUGGGGAGUACGGCCGCAAGGUUAAAACUCAAAUGAAUUGACGGGGGCCCGCACAAGCGGUGGAGCAUGUGGUUUAAUUCGAUGCAACGCGAAGAACCUUACCUGGUCUUGACAUCCACAGAACUUUCCAGAGAUGCAUUGGUGCCUUCGGGAACUGUGAGACAGGUGCUGCAUGGCUGUCGUCAGCUCGUGUUGUGAAAUGUUGGGUUAAGUCCCGCAACGAGCGCAACCCUUAUCCUUUGUUGCCAGCGGUCCGGCCGGGAACUCAAAGGAGACUGCCAGUGAUAAACUGGAGGAAGGUGGGGAUGACGUCAAGUCAUCAUGGCCCUUACGACCAGGGCUACACACGUGCUACAAUGGCAUAUACAAAGAGAAGCGACCUCGCGAGAGUAAGCGGACCUCAUAAAGUAUGUCGUAGUCCGGAUUGGAGUCUGCAACUCGACUCCAUGAAGUCGGAAUCGCUAGUAAUCGUGGAUCAGAAUGCCACGGUGAAUACGUUCCCGGGCCUUGUACACACCGCCCGUCACACCAUGGGAGUGGGUUGCAAAAGAAGUAGGUAGCUUAACCUUCGGGAGGGCGCUUACCACUUUGUGAUUCAUGACUGGGGUGAAGUCGUAACAAGGUCAG